Molecule: ribosomal RNA, 606 nt
Filed under: Staphylococcus epidermidis
Lineage: Bacteria; Bacillati; Bacillota; Bacilli; Caryophanales; Staphylococcaceae
Description: bacterial SSU rRNA
Rfam family: Bacterial small subunit ribosomal RNA
Source: RNAcentral
CCUACCUAUAAGACUGGGAUAACUUCGGGAAACCGGAGCUAAUACCGGAUAAUAUAUUGAACCGCAUGGUUCAAUAGUGAAAGACGGUUUUGCUGUCACUUAUAGAUGGAUCCGCGCCGCAUUAGCUAGUUGGUAAGGUAACGGCUUACCAAGGCAACGAUGCGUAGCCGACCUGAGAGGGUGAUCGGCCACACUGGAACUGAGACACGGUCCAGACUCCUACGGGAGGCAGCAGUAGGGAAUCUUCCGCAAUGGGCGAAAGCCUGACGGAGCAACGCCGCGUGAGUGAUGAAGGUCUUCGGAUCGUAAAACUCUGUUAUUAGGGAAGAACAAAUGUGUAAGUAACUAUGCACGUCUUGACGGUACCUAAUCAGAAAGCCACGGCUAACUACGUGCCAGCAGCCGCGGUAAUACGUAGGUGGCAAGCGUUAUCCGGAAUUAUUGGGCGUAAAGCGCGCGUAGGCGGUUUUUAAGUCUGAUGUGAAAGCCACGGCUCACCGUGGAGGUCAUGGGAACUGAAACUGAGUGCAGAGAGAAGUGAAUCCAUGUGUARCGUGAAUGCCRAGAUUGAGACCCAGUGCAGGCACUUCUGUCGUACGACCGAUU